Phasianus colchicus (ring-necked pheasant) is the source of this 2021-nucleotide non-coding RNA. NCBI's taxonomy places the organism in Eukaryota, Metazoa, Chordata, Aves, Galliformes, Phasianidae. The record is from RefSeq and is a predicted model, not a curated record.
GUUCACAGGCAGAUGCUGCUCAGUACACACUGCCACAAUUAACUCAGUUCUUCAGUCAGUAGCAAGGAAAUUUGCUCAUGGGUUGCUUAUACAGAGGGAUGUCUUUGGAGGAAUUUGAUGGCAGAACAAAGCAGCCACUGCUUCGAUUUUCUGUGCGGAGCUGGCAGUCCCUGCAGACAGAGGCCCUGCUCUGUUCCUUUCCUGGCAGCAUCCUUGAGUCUUUGGGAAUAGGAAGGGAGUAAACUGAACAGUUCUGCUAAGGCCCAACUACUGUUACGGAGGGGACCUCCUGCUAAAGAGAAGAGUAUAUUCAGUGAUAUUUAUGCUGUAGGUAGGUAAGACUGUCUUGUGAGUGCAGACAGGUGCAUUGGUGGUUACACUGGGUUGCAGGCGUGCUUUGGGCUGAUAUUGUGUUGGAUGUCUGAAGCUAAGAAAGCACGAAUUUUUGUGCUGGGACAGAUGGACUUGGAAGACCUUGGAUGCUUCUAAAUUUGGAGGAUGAUUUAUUACUUUUUGCUUUUUAUAUGCAGUACUGAGCCAGUAUUCUUCCACGGUGUGAGAAGACAAUCUGCAGUUCUGUCUCAGGUGACCCUCGAGAGGAAAAGGCUGAUGCCUUUGACUUUCCCUUCCCUUCAAGAAAUGUUGAAAAAGUAAUUAAACGAAAGAAGAAGGAGUCCAAAGUCUGGCUUAAAGUCUGGAAAGUAAUUUCAAAAAUGCUUGAAGAAAAUGAAAAGUUCCGACAUCGACUGUUGACUUGCAGUCAGUUCAGUGGAGAAGGCAAUGAUGCGAACCAAAAUUCACAGAAGGGUUCCCCCUGGACAGGGAGUCCAUCUUUGGUUGGGUGUAGCAAGAAAAUAAAGGAAGAUUCAGGCCAAAAGGAAAUAUAAAACUACUGAAAUUGUUUUCAUCUAGAUCUUACUAAAAUUAGUGAGAAGACCACAAAUGAUUUACAUGAGCACUGUUUCUCUGUUGUUUGCUUGGCAUAUAUGUUUCUGCUGUUCAAUAGGUUUGUUUUUAAAGUGGCUUAAAUAGCUUCUUGCAAGAUAUUCGAAGUCAUUAAGUCUGAUAUUUCACUUAGUUAUUAGUUUUUGAAAGCUUUUUAGUGAGUAUAGUAUUGUGACAGUUUGCUUGUAAAAGAAUAAAGAUGCACAUUUAGUGUUGAUGUCUAUUUUAUUGGUUUUUUUUUGUAGCCUGUCAGAACCAUAAACAUAAAUUCAGUAAAGCAGAACCCCACGCAGCAUAUAGAAACACUUUUGUUCUUAGUGAUUUGAAUAAUUUUGAUUUUGUUAUAUUAAAAUAACACACAAUUACCUUUCUGCUCAUUCAUCCAUUUAGACAUGAAUCUCAGCAAAUAUUUUGAAUUUAAAACCAGGUGAAUGUUUUCCGCCUCACUGUUCAUCAUGAGGCCCAUAAUGAUAUCAUCAUAACCAGAAGGCAUUUACCUAGCUGACUUCAUUAACACAGUAUCAUUUUCUUCUGUUUUGGAGUUUUACACUUGGACUCCUGACUGUUAAAACCUUCUAAACUAGCAAAUUGCGUACAUGGAACACAAAGACUGCAUACAAAUAGUGUGUACACAAACUUCAUAGAUAAAACAUUCACCUGUCACAAUUAGACAUCAUUGGUUUCAGUAAAAGGGUGGUUUUCUCAUUGCAUAAUGUCUUACUGUUUGCAGACAUGGUGACUGGAAUGUCAGAGUGUUGAGCUUUAAUAACAUGCCAGUGAUUGUGUCAUUAAGCAGCAAAGCAUUUGGAAGGGUUUAAUCUCUGUUUACUUAACAGCACAACUGCAAAUGUGUAAAUGACAUGUGUCCUCCUGACAACAGUUCUGGCAUCAAGGUGUGGUUUUUUUUUUCUGAUUUGCAGUUGAAUGUUCUGAUUUGACUUGAAAUAGUUGACAUUUCAGCUUGUAAAAGGAAGUGAGAAAGCAAAGUAUUCAAUCAAGACAUGAUCAUUUUUCUGGCAGAGCAAAAAUGUCACAGUUCUUUGGUAUUUUCAAGAUUCGUGUUUGGAGUUGCGUGA